CUAACCUGGUUGAUCCUGCCAGUACUCAUACGCUUCUCUCAAAGAUUAAGCCAUGCAUGUCUAAGUAUAAGCACUUAUACCGUGAAACUGCGUACGGCUCAUUAAAUCAGUUAUAGUUCAAUUGAUAGUACCUACUACUUGGAUAACCGUAGUAAUUCUAGAGCUAAUACAUGCGAUAAACCCUGACUGCUUGC
RNAcentral lists this ribosomal RNA (194 nucleotides) under uncultured eukaryote. RNAcentral's name for it is "partial 18S ribosomal RNA". It matches the Rfam family "Eukaryotic small subunit ribosomal RNA", at positions 1 to 194 of the family's 1831-position model. The record is from RNAcentral.